CCUACGGGAGGCAGCAGUGAGGAAUAUUGGUCAAUGGGCGGAAGCCUGAACCAGCCAAGUCGCGUGAGGGAAUAAGGCCCUACGGGUCGUAAACCUCUUUUGCCGUGGAGCAAGAGCGGGGCCGUGUCCCGGCCCGGAGGGUACCCGGGGAAAAAGCAUCGGCUAACUCCGUGCCAGCAGCCGCGGUACUACGGAGGAUGCGAGCUUUCUACGGAUUUAUUGGGUUUAAAGGGUGCGUAGGCGGGCUGUUAAGUCAGCGUUAAAACUUCGGGGCUCAACCCCGUCCGGCCGUUGAAACUGGGGGCCUUGAGUGGGCGAGAAGAAGGCGGAAUGCGUGGUGGAGCGGUGAAAUGCAUAGAUAUCACGCAGAACCCCGAUUGCGAAGGCAGCCUUCCGGCGCCCUACUGACGCUGAGGCACGAAAGUGCGGGGAUCGAACAGGAUUAGAUACCCUUGUAGUC
RNAcentral lists this ribosomal RNA (460 nucleotides) under uncultured bacterium. Its description in RNAcentral is "partial 16S ribosomal RNA". It matches the Rfam family "Bacterial small subunit ribosomal RNA", at positions 338 to 795 of the family's 1533-position model. The record is from RNAcentral.